AUGAGUCAAGAAAUAAAACAGUACGGAACCCUGGAAACAGAUCCAAGUCAGGAGCAGGAUGAAGGAAUCAGAAAUCCGGUAAAGAGAGACUUCCGGCAGCAGCCGUGCACCGGAUGGAGGGAGCCACCAGCCCAGACUGAACGAGCUGACUCAGGAAACUGCACAGAUCAUAAGUGUAUAGCUCGAUGAGCUUUCGCAAUGUGACCAUGUGGGUAACCAGUAACCAGACCCAAUAAGAACUUACCAGAACCCCAGACGCCCUUUGGGGUCCCUGUCCAACCCAAGGGCAACAUCCCUCCUGGCUUCCAAAUCACAGAGAGAGGAAGGAAGAGAGGAAGAGAUAGAUACAUUGAUGAGAGAAAGAAUUAUCAACAUAGAUCGUCUGCCUAACAUCGAUGAGAGAGAGAUGCAACAUCAAUUGGCCGCCUCCUGCACACCCCCUA
Molossus molossus (Pallas's mastiff bat) is the source of this 443-nucleotide long non-coding RNA. RefSeq lists it as uncharacterized. The transcript has 3 exons. The record is from RefSeq and is a predicted model, not a curated record. NCBI's taxonomy places the organism in Eukaryota, Metazoa, Chordata, Mammalia, Chiroptera, Molossidae.